This 1469-nucleotide long non-coding RNA is filed under the name Homo sapiens (human). RNAcentral describes it as "UBE2R2 antisense RNA 1, transcript variant 10 (UBE2R2-AS1)". Lineage: Eukaryota; Metazoa; Chordata; Mammalia; Primates; Hominidae. The record is from RNAcentral.
AUACAUCCCACCCAGAGAAACGAUCUCGCCUCAGAUGAUACUUGUCAUCUGUGAGACCACCCCUUUAGCUAGAGUUAACCACUUGAGCAGGUUUCAAUUUUGUCUCUGAAAGUAGGAAGCUAUCAGUCUCCCUACAUGACUCGUUCCACCCUUUGUGGAUACUUCUACCUGUAGAAAAAAAGGUUGGCAAACUUGGUGGCAUGGUGAGGACAAAGGGCAUUUUGAAAGAACCAGUGACUGAGGUCAGAGUGGGGAGCUGGUGUUAGCUGUGGGAUUCACUGCAGCGUCCUACCACAAAGGCAAAGAAGAUGAAAAUGCAGCGUGCAGUGCUGGGCUUGAUUCCCAAGUCGCAGUCGGGCUCCCGCUAUGGGUAGGAGGCUUUACACUCAGCCUGGGUCAGCACCGGAGCAUCCAGGCACUUCAGCUCGUCUGGGUAGUCAGCUGUGAGGAUCAGGAAGAGAUCAAAGAAAGUAGAAAUGUGGGUGAGGCCAGAGAAGGAGACAAUAAUCUGGGAUGGAACAUUGAAGAGGAACACUGCCUCUGGAGAGGACUCCAAAACGAGGCCAUGACAGAGGCACCUGAAGAAGACCUCUACAUAGGCCUCAGAUAAAGAGACCUAAGAAUGGAGGAUCCUGAGCUGGCAAUAUAAAUAUGCACAAGGGCGUGACCAGCCAGGGGGUCCUUGACUGCAACUCCCUUCAAAGACUGCAAUGCAUUGGCUGUGAACCAAGUCUGGGGUGGGCAGAACAGCCUCUCCACACCCUGUAAGCCUGCCAGAAUCCGCCUGUUAAAUUCCUGGUUGGCCUGCUGCUUGCCCCAAGUGGGGCUGCAACCUCAAGCUAGCGAAGCUGUGGAUUUGUCCUGCUCAUUUCCAAGUGUUCAUUCCCAUGUUAAGCCAACAAAGCCAAGGAUUUUCAACCCCCCAGCCACUGCUCUGAAUUGAAUCUGUUUGUAUGGCAGCAAAGCUACUAGUUUUCAUGAUGCAAGACAUUGUGAUUUUGACCUUGUUGGAUGCUGCACCUAAAGGUGGAUGGAAGAGGAAGAGUCUUGGGGGCUACCAUCCUGGCUGGAGAAGCUGGCACGAGGCUCCCUCUUGUGGAUGCAGCAAGUCUGAGGGCCAAGGGAAGAGAAGAGUGACAUAGAAUCUCCUUUCCUUGAGAUCUUAGAAUCACGCCUGCCUCCUUACCUCCAUCCAGGACUGUUAAAAAUCUCCCAAGGCAGAGACUUUUAGGCCUACAUGUACUUAGCCUCCUCUUCCCACCUCCUGUUCAUCUCUGUUUCCAAUGUUCCACUGCCAUCACUGCCAGGAAGUUCUGCAGAGAAGAAUGAAGAAGAACCGUAUGAUCCUAAACAUGUUCUUUGAAGAUAUUAUCAACCCACCAUUGGCCUUAUUUACUGGAAUGUUUUUAUAACCUUUAUUUGACACCUCUUCCCAUCAUUUAAAAUAAAUCUGGUGCUUCCCUGAAUAA